Molecule: ribosomal RNA, 247 nt
Filed under: uncultured Actinomycetes bacterium
Lineage: Bacteria; Bacillati; Actinomycetota; Actinomycetes
Description: uncultured actinobacterium partial 16S ribosomal RNA
Rfam family: Bacterial small subunit ribosomal RNA
Source: RNAcentral
GACGAACGCUGGCGGCGUGCUUAACACAUGCAAGUCGAGCGGUAAGGCCCCUUCGGGGUACGACGAGCGGCGAACGGGUGAGUAACACGUGGGUGACCUGCCCUUAGCUCUGGGAUAAGCCUGGGAAACUGGGUCUAAUACCGGAUAUGACUCCAUGACGCAUGUUGUGGGGUGGAAAGCCUUGUGCGGCUGGAGAUGGGCCCGCGGCCUAUCAGCUUGUUGGUGGGGUGAUGGCCUACCAAGGCGA